GUGUCAGCCGCCGCGGUAAUACGUAGGGUGCGAGCGUUGCCCGGAUUUAUUGGGCGUAAAGGGCGCGUAGGCGGCUCGACACGUCCGUUGUGAAAUCGCCCGGCUCAACUGGGCGGGGUCAGCGGAUACGGUCGAGCUUGAGCAAGCUAGGGGGCAAUGGAAUUCCCGGUGUAGUGGUGGAAUGCGUAGAUAUCGGGAGGAACACCAGUGGCGAAGGCGGUUGCCUGGGGCUUUGCUGACGCUGAUGCGCGAAAGCGUGGGGAGCGAUCCGGAUUAGAAACCCGGGUAGUCC
RNAcentral lists this ribosomal RNA (292 nucleotides) under uncultured bacterium. RNAcentral describes it as "partial 16S ribosomal RNA". It matches the Rfam family "Bacterial small subunit ribosomal RNA", at positions 505 to 796 of the family's 1533-position model. The record is from RNAcentral.